GUGUCAGCCGCCGCGGUAAUACGGAGGGGGCAAGCGUUGUCCGAAUUUAUUGGGCGUAAAGCGCGUGUAGGCGGACCGUCAAGCCUGGGGUGAAAGGUCGGGGCUCAACCCCGUACAGGGCCCUGGGGACUGGCGGUCUGGAGGCAGGCAGAGGAGCGUAGAAUUCCUGGUGUAGCGGUGGAAUGCGUAGAGAUCAGGAAGAAUACCCGUGGCGAAGGCGGCGCUCUGGGCCUGUACUGACGCUGAGACGCGAAAGCGUGGGGAGCGAACGGGAUUAGAUACCCCGGUAGUCCACGCUGUAAACGAUGGAUGCUCGGUGUCGGGGGUAUCGACCCCCUCGGCGCCCAAGGUAACCCGGUAAGCAUCCCGCCUGGGGAGUACGGCCGCAAGGUUGAA
RNAcentral lists this ribosomal RNA (396 nucleotides) under uncultured bacterium. RNAcentral's name for it is "bacterial SSU rRNA". It matches the Rfam family "Bacterial small subunit ribosomal RNA", at positions 505 to 898 of the family's 1533-position model. The record is from RNAcentral.